ACCACCACCAGCAGCUCCCUAGAGUGCCUCUCCCUGCAUUACUGGGUGCUAAGUGCUUCCUGCAGGAUACCCCGUGGACAGAAUGGCCACCUUUCCACCUAGAACCACAGGCACCCCACUCCUGGGCAGGGCAGGGGGGUGUCUUGAAGCUGGGCCCCAAGGACCGUACAGAUCCUGCCUGAGAUGCCCACACACACUGCUGUGUGGGUGAAGGAUGUGCUGAGAAAAUCCAGGCUGGUGACACACCUCCCAAACCCGUCCGCACCUGCUGUGGAGACUUGGAGACCCCAGGCCCCCAAUUCUGAUGUCUUCACCCCACCCCUCCCCAGCUUUGGUGCCAGGAACCGUGAGAAGAAAAGUAAAGGAGUUUAAUCAGGA
Erinaceus europaeus (western European hedgehog) is the source of this 378-nucleotide long non-coding RNA. RefSeq lists it as uncharacterized. The transcript is spliced from 2 exons. The record is from RefSeq and is a predicted model, not a curated record. Lineage: Eukaryota; Metazoa; Chordata; Mammalia; Eulipotyphla; Erinaceidae.